Molecule: ribosomal RNA, 969 nt
Filed under: Triticum aestivum (bread wheat)
Lineage: Eukaryota; Viridiplantae; Streptophyta; Magnoliopsida; Poales; Poaceae
Description: partial small subunit ribosomal RNA
Source: RNAcentral
AUGGCUUCCAAUGGUGUCUUCGCUGAAUUACUCCGUGCCUACAAACUUGAUGGAACAAACUACACGGUUUGGAAAAGGAAGAUUAUGUUCUUGCUUACGGCUGAGAAUAUAGAUUAUGUUUCUGAGACCGGGGCGCCUAAUGAGCCAGCAGAGGAUGCUACAGAUGAAGACAAACAGGAAUACAAUGAUGAACUGAAGCAAUGGACCAAGGACAACAAGACUGCCAGAGUUUAUAUUCUUGGCUCGAUGACUGAUUCGUUGGCUGCGGAAUAUGAGUCGGAUAAAACGGCCUGCGGAAUAAUGCUCAGGCUGGAACAAGAUUUUGGAGAAGUUUCCCUUGUGAAGGUGCUUAGCCUUGUGAAUAAAUUUCUGACAUCAAAGAUGGGUGAUAAAACAGUCAAUGAACACUUCAACAAGCUCUGUGUCUUGGCGGAAGAGUUAAAAACUGCUGGCUAUCCGUUCCAGGAGGAAGUCCAAGUCAUGGUUGUCCUGAACUCUUUACCACCAUCAUGGGAACAAUUCAAGAUUUCUUUUUGUCAUUCAGAGCGCACACUCAAUAUGAGGAACCUGAGGCAACACUUGCUGAUGGAGGAGGACCGCAGGCUCAACUCAGGAAAAGAUAAAGUUUUUUAUCAGCCAGAACUUCACCUUGGUGAGUACAAGAAUAGUGGGAAUCGGAGGAACUGGAAUAAGAAAGGAGGACCAGACCUAAGGGACAAGAUCAAUUACAAACGUGAUAGGGAUCAAAGAAACUACAGAGAUGACAGGAGGGACAGGGGGCAAAGCAACAACAACAACUCUUUUCACAAGAUUGACAAGAGGAACUACAAGUGCCAUAAUUGUGGUAAUACAGGCCACUUCAGGUCAGAAUGCACCAAGAAGAGGAAGCCGAAUAGCGAAAGGAAUAAUUUUCACAAGGAUGACAGCCGCAAGGGGAAUCAAUCCCCUGAAGCUGCAGGGGUUUACUGA